GGGAAUAUUGGGCAAUGGGGGAAACCCUGACCCAGCAACGCCGCGUGAAGGAAGAAGGCUUUCGGGUUGUAAACUUCUUUUACCAGGGACGAAGAGAGUGACGGUACCUGGAGAAAAGCCACGGCUAACUACGUGCCAGCAGCCGCGGUAAUACGUAGGUGGCAAGCGUUGUCCGGAUUUACUGGGUGUAAAGGGCGUGUAGGCGGAGAUUCAAGUCAGGAGUGAAAUCUAUGGGCUUAACCCAUAAACUGCUUUUGAAACUGAAUCCCUUGAGUAUCGGAGAGGCAGGCGGAAUUCCUAGUGUAGCGGU
This 310-nucleotide ribosomal RNA is filed under the name uncultured Clostridium sp. RNAcentral describes it as "bacterial SSU rRNA". It matches the Rfam family "Bacterial small subunit ribosomal RNA", at positions 357 to 682 of the family's 1533-position model. Lineage: Bacteria; Bacillati; Bacillota; Clostridia; Eubacteriales; Clostridiaceae. The record is from RNAcentral.